Molecule: ribosomal RNA, 760 nt
Filed under: uncultured Eubacteriales bacterium
Lineage: Bacteria; Bacillati; Bacillota; Clostridia; Eubacteriales
Description: bacterial SSU rRNA
Rfam family: Bacterial small subunit ribosomal RNA
Source: RNAcentral
CGGCGCACGGGUGAGUAACGCGUAUCCAACCUGCCCUUUACUUGGGGAUAACCCGUUGAAAGACGGACUAAUACCCAAUGAUAUUCAUUGAUGACAUCUGAUUUGAAUUAAAGAUUUAUCGGUAUAGGAUGGGGAUGCGUCUGAUUAGCUAGUUGGUGGGGUAACGGCCCACCAAGGCGACGAUCAGUAGCCGGCCUGAGAGGGUGAUCGGCCACAUUGGAACUGAGACACGGUCCAAACUCCUACGGGAGGCAGCAGUGGGGAAUAUUGCACAAUGGGGGAAACCCUGAUGCAGCGACGCCGCGUGAGCGAAGAAGGCCUUCGGGUCGUAAAGCUCUUUUAUGAGGGAAGAUAAUGACGGUACCUCAAGAAAAAGCCCCGGCUAACUACGUGCCAGCAGCCGCGGUAAUACGUAGGGGGCUAGCGUUGUCCGGAAUCACUGGGCGUAAAGGGUUCGCAGGCGGAAUAACAAGUCAGAUGUGAAAGGCAUGGGCUCAACCCAUGUAAGCAUUUGAAACUGUAAUUCUUGAGAAGUGGAGAGGUAAGUGGAAUUCCUAGUGUAGCGGUGAAAUGCGUAGAUAUUAGGAGGAAUACCUGUGGCGAAGGCGACUUACUGGACACAAAUCUGACGCUGAGGAACGAAAGCGUGGGUAGCAAACAGGAUUAGAUACCCUGGUAGUCCACGCCGUAAACGAUGAGUGCUAGGUGUCGGGGGAGACCUCGGUGCCGGCGUUAACACAAUAAGCACUCCGCCUGGGGA